Molecule: transfer RNA, 75 nt
Filed under: Sphaerodactylus townsendi
Lineage: Eukaryota; Metazoa; Chordata; Lepidosauria; Squamata; Sphaerodactylidae
Description: tRNA-Ala
Source: RNAcentral
GGAGAAACUGUGACUCAGUGGUAGAGUAUCUGCUUUGCAUAAGGAAGGUCCCAGGUUCAAUCUGUGGCAUCUCCC